This 205-nucleotide unclassified non-coding RNA is filed under the name uncultured Lactarius. RNAcentral describes it as "sequence contains ITS1". Lineage: Eukaryota; Fungi; Basidiomycota; Agaricomycetes; Russulales; Russulaceae. The record is from RNAcentral.
UCGUAAAACCGAGGUGCGAGGGCUGUCGCUGACUCAAAGUCGUGCACGCCGGAGUGUGUCCUCUCACAUAACAAUCCAUCUCACCCUUUGUGCACCACCGCGUGGGCACCCUUUGGGAUCACACCGAUCUCAGAGGGGGCUCGCGUUUUCACACAAAAAACCCCCUUUGAAAAAGUGUAGAAUGUCCUCAUUUAUGCAAUCAAUA